CCUACGGGGUGCUGCAGUGGGGAAUAUUGGACAAUGGGGGGAACCCUGAUCCAGCCAUGCCGCGUGUGUGAAGAAGGCCCUCGGGUUGUAAAGCACUUUCAGUGAGGAAGAACGCCUGGUGGUUAAUACCCAUCAGGAAAGACAUCACUCACAGAAGAAGCACCGGCUAACUCCGUGCCAGCAGCCGCGGUAAUACGGAGGGUGCGAGCGUUAAUCGGAAUUACUGGGCGUAAAGCGCGCGUAGGUGGCUUGAUAAGCCGGUUGUGAAAGCCCCGGGCUCAACCUGGGAACGGCAUCCGGAACUGUCAAGCUAGAGUGCAGGAGAGGAAGGUAGAAUUCCCGGUGUAGCGGUGAAAUGCGUAGAGAUCGGGAGGAAUACCAGUGGCGAAGGCGGCCUUCUGGACUGACACUGACACUGAGGUGCGAAAGCGUGGGUAGCAAACAGGAUUAGAUACCCCUGUAGUC
Molecule: ribosomal RNA, 465 nt
Filed under: Vreelandella stevensii
Lineage: Bacteria; Pseudomonadati; Pseudomonadota; Gammaproteobacteria; Oceanospirillales; Halomonadaceae
Description: partial 16S ribosomal RNA
Rfam family: Bacterial small subunit ribosomal RNA
Source: RNAcentral